AUUGAACGCUGGCGGCGGGCCUAACACAUGCAAGUCGAGCGGAGCGGCGGACGGGUGAGUAAUGCCUAGGAAUCUGCCUGGUAGCGGGGGAUAACGUACGGAAACGGGCACUAAUACCGCAUAAUAUCAGAUGAGCCUAGGUCGGAUUGGCUAGUUGGUGGGGUAAAGGCCGACCAAGGCGACGAUCCGUAACUGGUCUGAGAGGAUGAUCAGUCACACUGGAACUGAGACACGGUCCAGACUCCUACGGGAGGCAGCAGUGGGGAAUAUUGGGCAAUGGGCGAAAGCCUGAUCCAGCCAUGCCGCGUGUGUGAAGAAGGUCUGCGGAUUGUAAAGCACUGUAAUUUGGGAGGCGUUACCAACAGAAUAAGCACCGGCUAACUUCGUGCCAGCAGCCGCGGUAAUUC
This 407-nucleotide ribosomal RNA is filed under the name uncultured bacterium. RNAcentral's name for it is "partial 16S ribosomal RNA". It matches the Rfam family "Bacterial small subunit ribosomal RNA", at positions 30 to 526 of the family's 1533-position model. The record is from RNAcentral.